Molecule: long non-coding RNA, 632 nt
Filed under: Trifolium pratense (red clover)
Lineage: Eukaryota; Viridiplantae; Streptophyta; Magnoliopsida; Fabales; Fabaceae
Description: long non-coding RNA (TPRA_LNC008782)
Source: RNAcentral
AUUAUUAGACACCCUAAAGUGUAAAAUUCCAUCAUUUUUUAAUUCCAUCAACAAAGCAUGCAGGUCAUAUGUAUCCUUAAAAAUCUCUACAUCAUUCCCCCACUAACAAUGAUAACAAAAAUUUAAUAAUAUAUUAAAAAUGUUUGACAUGCUUUUAAGGCUGUCAAACAAAAAUUACAUCGAAAAAAUAUGAGAAUGAGAUCGAGUAUAGGAGAUAUAUAUUAUAAGAGAUAACAUUAAGAUGAAAAAAGAAAUUGAAAUGUCGAGAAAUAAGAUUUACUAUGUUGGCAUUUGGCAUUCACAAUGACCAUUGUUGCACAUCAUUUUCGUAGUAACACUUGGAUAUAAUUUAUAGCAAUCACUGUGAUUAACACAUUCUCCUGUAAUGUACAAUAAGAAUAAGAAAAUAUUACUAAAAUGGGUGAAAGAUUGUGUAUAACAUAAAUAAAGAAAAUUAUGAGAAUGAACUUACUUUUACAAAGGACAACAGAUAUAAAAAGGGAAACAAAAAGUAUCACAAUAUAAACAAAUUUGAGACUUUCAGCCAUUUAUUUUUCACCUUUGUAUUUACAAAUAUAAAAUGGUUUGAUAACUUUAUAUAGUAAAAAGUAAAAACUUGUUGCCAUGUUUAC